Molecule: long non-coding RNA, 2016 nt
Organism: Oenanthe melanoleuca
Lineage: Eukaryota; Metazoa; Chordata; Aves; Passeriformes; Muscicapidae
Exons: 2
Source: RefSeq, a predicted model, not a curated record
UGACUUUUAAUUUGCUUCCCUCACCCAUUCUUCAAAGUUCUUAAGCUGUAGGCUUAAUAUUUUAUUUGUAAGUACAGCAGGAGAUGAGGAGGAGAUGAGCUCUCUUGGGCUGGUAUCAUGCCCAUCCACACAAGUUUUAUUGCUUUUUAAACAGGUUACUAUGGAGCAGAUUCCAAGCACAGGGCUCUCCUGCCUGGAAACAAAACAUGCUACUGAUCUCUUUCAGUCAGGUGUGUGAGCAGAACUUUGCUAAGGUUGACGGGUUGCCUGAAGCUGAUAGCACAGUGUUACUGUUAGGUAGUGAUGAUCAGCUAGCAAUAUCUGCUGGGUUGGUUUGGCAGGACUUAAGGUGUGCUUGGUAGAGCUGCUUGUCAGUUCUUGGUGGCAUUGUUGGUGUACUCCCUAUGUACUUCCUUUUCUACUUAUCUCACAGUACAAAAGUCUCAGCAGGCAGGUGCCAGCAUCCUUGUUAAAAUAUCAGGUAGUAACUCUCUACUGCUGCUAGGCAUCAUCCACUUCUGUUGAAUAAUUAAUCUGUGAGGAAGAGGUUAGCAAGAGCAAUUUAUACCAAGCAGAGACCAGCUCACUGAGUGUACUCUGAAACAAAGAAAAUACACAAGCAGAUACAAACUGAACAUUAAAAAAAAAAGGCAGCCACAGGAUUUGCCAGUUCUUGAGAGCCUAGAAAAAUGGGAUAUCGACUCAAGCAUCAACCACAGCAAUAGAAGCCGUUUGACUUGGAAGACUUUAAACUUCAUCCUCUCCAAGAACUCCAGGAGAUUCUCUGCACCUUCUGGCUCAUUCUACAGAGCUGAAACCUCUGGACCAUAGCAACAAGGAAUAGGAGAUGCUGGAGGAAGAAGCAGAGUGCACUGCAUUGAACAGAUACACAGCCUGCCUAGCAGGAAGAAGAGAAGGAUUCCAGUGGCAGGCAGCCUCCUAGGACCUGAGAGUACUCCUCAGCAGCUGCAAGCCUAUCACAAGCCAGCUACAAGAGACACAAAUACAGGUCAAUGAUGCUUGGUGGAUGAAAAAGAGAAGCAAAUAACACUUAGGGGACUGAAUUUUUUCCACCUGCCAUAAAUAUAGGGCUAAGGAAGAUGACAUGUCUAUCUGCCAUGGAUUGUCAAAUCCCAGGAAGAGACAGAAAACAAAAAGCCCAGUGAAAUAAGGAAUACCAAAUGGAAGAAAACAAGUGAUGGUAGAAACACAGUGACCACAAUGAAUCACCACAUUUCCAACUGUGAUAGAGACUAUUUGCAGUCUACACACACAGCUCCUCACAAACAGUGGCCUCUACUCAUGGGAAAUAUCAAACCAGACUGUUUCACACACCUGACUCAUGCUUCAUUGCCUCAGCACCAGCUCCCCACUGCUGCUUCCCCACCAGGGCUCACACAGUCCUCUGUGCCAGUGACUGGCUGAGCUAAACCACUUGAACUCACAGCUGCAAGCUCUGGGUCCCUCAGUCAGCACCCAGCCACAUCCUUAUGAAGGUCUGCAAAGUCCAAAGCAUCUCCUGUCACUCCCUUUACAGGUAGCAGUAACAACUGAGAUCCAAGUUGGCCAAAGGGAUUCAAAACCAUAUUCUCAUCCCACUUCCAACGCUGCUCUAAACCUUGUCAGUGCAGUAUUCCUGGAUUGGCUGUUGUGCUCUGGAAAUAGAGUAUAGUAUUCUGCCUUCCUUCCUGUGGGCUAAUUUGAGGGCAGCUACUGCCACCGAUUAGUUUCCCUGGUGGGAAGUUCACUGUGGAGCCAGCGUCUAAAGUGUCUUAUUAUUUCAGAGAUUGGCUUUUUGGUGGAUUCAAGAUGCUAAGCCUGUCUGCAUAUUUUUGACAUCUUACUAAAUUGCCAGUUUGACAGAGGAGAAAAGUCAUUUAUAUAACAUUAUGCUAACAUAAUGCAUUUCUUAGUGUUGCUGGUAAGUCUUACAUACUAAGUGAAUCUUUUAACAUCAGUUUCAUGAAGAGUAUGCACAUUUUCUUUGGCAAUAAAACAGCUUUGUUCAACUUUUCA